CUAGGGAAAAGAAAUUAGAAAUUGUAGACUUGUACAAAAGAUGUGGGAAUCAGUAAUGCAUGCAAGGAGUAUAAUUUGAACGCUACAAUCUUGGUGUUGAACAGUUUUUUGUUUUUGUUGGAUUUAACAUCGCACCGACACAAUUAUAGGUCAUAUGGCGACUUUCCAGCUUUGAUGGUGGAGGAAGACCCCAUGUGCACCUCCGUGCAUUAUUUCAUCACGAGCUGGCACCUGGGUAGAACCACCGACUUUCCGUAAGCCAGCUGGAUGGCUUCCUCACAUGGAGAAUCCAAUGCCCCGAGAGGCUCGAACCCACAUCGAUGAGGGGCAAGUGAUUUCAAAUCAGCGACCUUAACCACUCGGGCAUGGAGGCCCUAACUGGUGUUGAACAGUGAUUGAAUGGUCCGAGAGAUUGAACAUUAUUUACAAUAGAAUACUGUAUGCAAUAAAAGGAAAUAGUUCACUGCGCAUGUCCACUGUCAAUUUUCUAAAUACAUGUAGACAUAGUAUUAGAGCCGUUUUACGCAAUCGAAUACUGCCGGAAGUAGAACAUUUAUGUCAACACCGGUUUCGUAUUUCACGUGAAAACAGCUGAAAACUGAGAGGUUAUCAACAAAUUAUUAAGUUCCAUGGGGAUUUUUCAUGCAUUUAAACGACAGAAGUACAAGCCAACAAAUGACACAUUACAGUGGCUGCAGAAGCUUGAAAAGUUACUUAGAGCAGGGGCAGUCAGAACAAUGGGAUAAUGCUUCUAAUAGGUGUCCUACAUGUCUAAUCAGGUUGACAGAAGUGGAAGAUGGUCUAGUGGUACAAUGAUGUACGGAUGAAAAUCUUUAAUAAGUUUAACAUGUAGAAGGAAAUGUAAUGCCAGUUAUUAAAAUUACAUUCCCCUAAACAUUUAACAGAUACACAGUGUAAAUGUAAUUAAAAUGAUUUUAUGUAAGUUUCAUGUAGGAUUGUACAGCAACCAUUUUGAAUUAAGAACUUUUGAUUUAGGUAAAGAUAUCUAUUCAGACUUCUUAAAUCUUAGCCCUUCAGAUGAUACAGGGAUAAAAGGUCUACUAUUGCCAGCCACUGUCCAUGUUUCAAAGUUUUUAAACACACAAUAGCAAUAACCAUUUUGUUAAAAUAUCUUGUUAAUGCAAUGUUUUCUUGAUAUCUGUCACUUGAUGUUUUCAAUGGAUAAGAGUCCUAAUUUAAUGUAAAGUCUGUAUUUUUCAGUAAUUGAAGUACAAAAUUUGUAGGAAGUUGUUUCUUUAUUUCAGUGUAAAAUGUUCUGUGGAUUCAUAUGAUGAGAAUGCCAGUGUUGAUCUGUAUGGUUUAAUUAAACACAGAUAUUGAUACCUUCAGAUAUACCUGUGAAAUCUUCAGUGUCACCAUUCAGCUAUAGUUCAAGAUCCGUGUCUGAAACUUGCACAGUUUAGUAUAGAGGAGCCUACUGGAUCAAUUUUGUUACAUAUUUACUGUUAUUGUAGGACACACAUGUAGAGAGCAGCAAGUCCUGUACAGCCGUGCAUGUAAAUGUGAUUCAGAAACUCUGAGAAUUAUGUAAACAUUACACUGUUAUAAUUUUCAAAAUACUAUGUCUUGUAGUGUAUCAAUACUGUUUUGUCUCAGUUUAUAGCACAGAUAAUCAAAUCACAAAUCAAACUUAAGAUCAUAGUGAUCAGUAUUAUUAAAAUCACUGAUUAUUUAUAUGGUGACAAAAAUUAAUUUCAUGCAAUACCACAGUAAAACGUUUGAUAAUUUUUGCUUUUGAAGGUGUAAGUUUAAGGUUAGCAUAAAUUGUUUUUCUCCUUCAUAAAUCUAAAAAGUGAUUAGUCAUUAUAAUUGCAAUAUCAUUUUAGUAUGACAAAGUUUAUUUAUAUUUAACUAAAACAGCAGUGUAAAUUUUUAAACUACUCAAUGCAUUUUCUUCAGUCUUAAAACAUUUGUUUAUCAUAAGUAUCAUGGUCAAUAACUCCUCCAUAUUACUUGUGUUUUGUCCUUUUUAAUUUCACUGAAGAAUAGGUAGAGGUAUUGCACAUCCAUUUUUUAGCAUCCCGAUUUUGUAAAGUAUUGUAUGUAAGCUUUUGUCUCAGAAUUAUGUUUCAUCCAAAGGUGGGGAGACGUAUUGUUUUUGCCUUCUCCUCCGUCUUUCCGCAUUAAGCCUGUCCAGCUUUUACAGGACAAGCUGCUGGCCAGAUUUCGAUGAAACUACACAGGACUGAUCAUUACCAAGCAUAGAGUUGUGCAUAUCGCUUGCAUGUUCCAUUUCGCUGCACUAAAUUGCAGCCAGAGCUAAAAAAAGAAAAAACUUGUCGGCUUUCACAGGUCAAACUACUUAACAGAUUUUGAUGAAACUUCAAAGGAGUGAUCAGUACCAAACAUAUUUGUGCAUAUUGCUGACACUUUCAUUUUGGUGCACAAAAUAGCCGCCAUAGCUAAAGGUAUACAAAGAUUGGAUACAUGUUUUGUCAUAAAAACACCUAAAGCACCUUCUAGUUUGCUAAUGAAAAAUGUAUCAAACUUCUUACACUUGCAAAAUGUAAUAAUUUGACAUUAAAUGCACUGGCCCCUUAACUGCAUUUGGCAUUUUUACAAAAUUAUUGCCCUUUUCUUACCAUAGAAAUAUUUGGUGUAUUAGUCUUCACGAAACCUUGCAGAACAAUUUCCUUAUGUUCCCAGUGUCAACUUUGAUAGUGACAUGUUUACUUUAGAAACACUGCAGUAAUGUAACCACUGUACUAGUCAAACGUUUCGUAUUUCAGUUUUUUAUCACAUUACAGGCUACUGGUUUUUAUCAGCCUUCAUAAAACUUUCAUAUUUCAAAAAAUGUUGUACUUUGAUUUGAACUGGCAUUAUUCAAACAUUAUGAAGUAGUACUAUAAGGCAAUAUUUGACCUCUUGCCCAGUACUUUUUGAUUUUAUCUGUAACUAUGAAAUUGCCUUUUCCUAGAAACUGGUUGGCUGUUUUUUGGUGAACUUAUGUUUUUAAUGAAUUGUAGUUAUGAUCUCAUGAAAAUGUCUAUUUUUAUAAAAUUUAUAAUUUUUACUGUCAACAAAGUGCAAUACCACAUAUUUAUCACUUUCAUUAACAUACUUGUACUAUAUUCAUUAAACAUUAUAUAAAUCAUUAUAUUUCAUAUGAACAGAAUUAAAUAAAUAUUUAAGAACA
Mercenaria mercenaria is the source of this 3157-nucleotide long non-coding RNA. RefSeq lists it as uncharacterized. The transcript is spliced from 4 exons. The record is from RefSeq and is a predicted model, not a curated record. NCBI's taxonomy places the organism in Eukaryota, Metazoa, Mollusca, Bivalvia, Venerida, Veneridae.